Molecule: ribosomal RNA, 497 nt
Filed under: uncultured bacterium
Lineage: Bacteria
Description: partial 16S ribosomal RNA
Rfam family: Bacterial small subunit ribosomal RNA
Source: RNAcentral
GAUGAACGCUGGCGGCGUGCCUAAUACAUGCAAGUCGAGCGAACAGACGAGGAGCUUGCUCCUCUGACGUUAGCGGCGGACGGGUGAGUAACACGUGGAUAACCUACCUAUAAGACUGGGAUAACUUCGGGAAACCGGAGCUAAUACCGGAUAAUAUAUUGAACCGCAUGGUUCAAUAGUGAAAGACGGUUUUGCUGUCACUUAUAGAUGGAUCCGCGCCGCAUUAGCUAGUUGGUAAGGUAACGGCUUACCAAGGCAACGAUGCGUAGCCGACCUGAGAGGGUGAUCGCACACACUGGAACUGAGACACGGUCCAGACUCCUACGGGAGGCAGCAGUAGGGAAUCUUCCGCAAUGGGCGAUAGCCUGACGGAGCAACGCCGCGUGAGUGAUGAAGGUCUUCGGAUCGUAAAACUCUGUUAUUAGGGAAGAACAAAUGUGUAAGUAACUAUGCACGUCUUGACGGUACCUAAUCAGAAAGCCACGGCUAACUACGUG